Heterocephalus glaber (naked mole-rat) is the source of this 68-nucleotide small nuclear RNA. Its record names the gene U2. It matches the Rfam family "U2 spliceosomal RNA". From Rfam's summary of the family: U2 is a small nuclear RNA (snRNA) component of the spliceosome (involved in pre-mRNA splicing). Lineage: Eukaryota; Metazoa; Chordata; Mammalia; Rodentia; Bathyergidae. The record is from Ensembl.
AUCUCUUCUCAGCCUUUUGGCUAAGAUCAAGUGUAGUACAUCAGUAAUGUUAUUUUGGUUGACUUAUA